This 231-nucleotide unclassified non-coding RNA is filed under the name uncultured fungus. Its description in RNAcentral is "sequence contains ITS1, 5.8S rRNA gene". The stretch from base 183 to 231 matches the Rfam family "5.8S ribosomal RNA", at positions 1 to 49 of the family's 154-position model. The record is from RNAcentral. Lineage: Eukaryota; Fungi.
UCUCCGUUGGUGAACCAGCGGAGGGAUCAUUACCGAGUUAUACAACUCAUCAACCCUGUGAACAUACCUAAAACGUUGCUUCGGCGGGAACAGACGGCCCUGUAACAACGGGCCGCCCCCGCCAGAGGACCCCUAACUCUGUUUUUAUAAUGUUUUUCUGAGUAAACAAGCAAAUAAAUUAAAACUUUCAACAACGGAUCUCUUGGCUCUGGCAUCGAUGAAGAACGCAGC